CAUAGUUUACAAUAGUUUGUAUAGUUUUACAGAUGAAAACUAUAGUUAACGAAUCGUAAACUAUAGUUUACAGUUGAUAAACUACGUUUAUCAACUGUAAAACUAUAUUUAGCUCAUUUUUAUGAAAUUAACUUGCCAUAAAUUAUAUAUGGCAUGCAUGUCUUUCUUUUCUUUUAUCUCCGUAAAUAGCGUCGAAAAUAGUACCUGGUAAUAAAUAGCUUGCCAGUGCAUUUCCUAUGAAAGUGUAAAUGAGUGCGUUUGUGAGAAGGGGGUACUGAGUGUAAUUCGGAGUAAUAUACUCUUGUGUUAUUAUUAUAUAGUACUAUGGGUUUAAAUUUUUCCCGAAACAAGUGCCAGUGACGGAUACAAAAAAAUGUUAUUAUCAGUGAGAGGGAUCGAUCGUUCAGUCCAAAUAUAAUUGAUAUAUUACCAGUUUCCUAGGAAUAUAAAUUAUCGUUUUGUUCAAAUAUAUUAUCUUUGGAAAUUAAAAAUCUAUUAUUAUUGAAGAAAAACAGGUAGCUUUUAUUUAAAAAGUUCUUAGUAAAAUAUUAUUGUAACGGACCUACCAUUAUGUGCAAUAUAAUUAGGUGAUUUCGUAAAAAUGAAAGAUUUGUAAUUUUUGAUUAUUUUGCAAUUGCUUAACAUGACACUAUUCAUUAGAAACCUCAAAAGCAUACUUUUUUACUUUGUAUAUAAUCCAUUGAGUUUGUUAUAUAAAAAAAAUAGUUAUGGAGGUACAGGAACUGACUAAAAUUCUAAUUAUCAAAUGGUUGAUAAGAGGAGAUUACUAGUAGCAUGCAGGAAUAAGGUAUAGGGCGUCCUUGCAUCAAUGUGUCUGUCUGCAUAUUCGUUAAAAGGGUUACGUAACGAUUCGAUCUGAUUUCAGUAUAUUUCCAUUUCAAUUUGUUUUCUCUGUGAUAACAUUUUGAAAGUACCAGGUAAGCUGAUAUGAUUUCAUGAUCAAUAUUCUGGCUUUGCCCGUUAUAAAUUAUAUAUGUAAAUAAUAUGUAAAGUAUAUAUGUAAAUAUAUUGCAAAAUAUAUAUCCCACAUUUCCAACGAUCGUUGAUGCUCCGGCAUACUCUACUAACUAGACAUUGAUUCCUUAGAUUAUACUACAUGAUUGUAAAUAAAAUAUUUGGUUUUAAUUUCGAUGUUAAAAUAUAUUAUACAAUUUUAGAUGAUACGUAUACGUGUUACUCGGAUAGCCAGUGCCCGGAUUAAGGUUACCACUGUUGUAUUGGUACAAGAUAUUGCUGUCCGCGGAGUACUGAGUGUACAUGGUUCACCGAAUGUAUCAUUCCGAGCUACACAGAACGAAAAAUGAAUCUUUGGAAGCUUGCAAGAAAGUAAACAAGUCAAACCAGCCAAUGAAAUAUAGACUGUACCUAGGCCAACACGGAUUUGCCAUUUUGAAAUAUUUGAAUUGAAGUUGUGGAUUUCUCAGUAUUUUGUCAGAAUAUACAUAUUAAAUGAUUACAAAAGCCUAAUUCUGUAAUUAGGUGUAUGCGCUAA
Saccostrea cuccullata (small rock oyster) is the source of this 1513-nucleotide long non-coding RNA. RefSeq lists it as uncharacterized. The transcript has 3 exons. Lineage: Eukaryota; Metazoa; Mollusca; Bivalvia; Ostreida; Ostreidae. The record is from RefSeq and is a predicted model, not a curated record.